Molecule: long non-coding RNA, 1437 nt
Filed under: Ananas comosus (pineapple)
Lineage: Eukaryota; Viridiplantae; Streptophyta; Magnoliopsida; Poales; Bromeliaceae
Description: long non-coding RNA (ACOM_LNC010593)
Source: RNAcentral
CUCUUUGGUCACAAUCGAAAACGCGGGGGUUACUAUUCACUUUAAGGGCUUGUUUGGUUCAAGGGUGAAAUUGGAAUGGAUAAUGGAAUGGGAAUGAAUUGGAAUGGUAAUUGGAAUGGCCCACUCCCCCAAGACGUUUAGUUUAUUUGUGGAUUGGGAAUUGGAAUGAAUUAUUCACAUUUCAUUAUUUGGUUCGUAUAAACUAAAAAAAGUAUAGGAUAUUAUAAUACUAAUUUUACUCUCAAAUAUAAAUUUAUAUUAUUUAAAAUUUAUGAAAAAUAUAAUACUAUUCUCUAAUAAGUUUUCCAAAAAUAAUAUCAAAUUUAUUUUUAAAAUUUUUUAUUGAUGUGGGUUAGGGAUAGGGUUUUGAGAGAGGAUAAUUUUUUAUUUUUUUAUUUUUUUUUUUGAUGAGAAAGGGGUGAAGAGAAGGAGGGUGAGAUGGUCACAUGGGCUUCGAGAACUUAGUAAGCUUCUGGAAUAAAAUCUCAAUCCGGGCUAGAAGACCGGAAUCAAGUUGAAGGCUAAUGGGCCAUUUCCAUUCCAGUUCGGAAUAGGAAUCUCAAACCGAUUCAUGCGAACCAAACAAAAUUAACCGGAUUUGAUCAAACCGAUUCCCAUUCCAUAUCCAAAAUGGAUGAACCAAACAAGCCCUAAGUGAAAAGCAAAAAUCGCAUAAAAAUUUUAUUUUAAAUUAUUUUUUGCUGAAAUUGGAUAGGCAAGUUUAAAAUUAAAAUAAAUACAAUAACAUUUAAAAAGUCGACAAACAUAUAUAAAAAAAAAAUUUCAGUAUCACAAUAACCCUAUAAUAAAAUAACAAUAAAAUUGUGGGAUACUUAAGUGAAAGAUUUUGAACCAUAGAAUGGAAAAAGAAAAACACGCUAAAUGUAGAAUAAUUUAAUGUAACUUUUUGAAUCAUAGGAUAUCAAAAUAAAAAUGCACUAUACCACAGAGGGGGCAAUCUCAUGUUUAUCAUUAAAUAUUUCAUCAUAAAUGAGGCAGAAAAUUAAAAAAAAUAUAUAGUUUUGGCAGAACAUAUUUAGAGCAUUUGUAGUUCAUAAUUGGAAUGAUAAUGGAAAAAAGUAAUCAGAUUGAAUUGAAAUAGAAAAUGAAACGACAAAUCAUCAAAAACAAUCUUUGGUUCAUUGUUGGUAAGGAAAUCCGAAUGGACAAUUCAAACAUAUAGGAUUUUGAGAAAGAGGUUUUGGUUGACAGGAGGAGAGCGAUUAGGAGAGAGGUGGAAAGGUAUUUGCGAAAAAGAGUUUUCAGUGGUUUACUUUAAAUUGAGUCGAUUUAGAAUUCAAAAUCGGAUUGAAUUAUAAAUAGAUUAGAUCACUUUCAUUUUAAAGUGAAAUAAUAGAAAUUCAAUUCUUAUAAAACAAAUAAUAACUAAAAAAAUAGUAAAUUUUAUUUUAAUUUUAUACUUUAAAAUAAGUGAAU